CCUACGGGUGGCUGCAGUGAGGAAUAUUGGUCAAUGGGCGGAAGCCUGAACCAGCCAAGUAGCGUGAAGGAUGACGGCCCUAGGGGUUGUAAACUCCUUUUAUAGGGGAAAAAAGAGCCGUAUGUCUACGGCUUUGCAUGUACCAUAUGAAUAAGGACCGGCUAACUUCGUGCCAGCAGCCGCGGUAAUACGGAGGUUCCGGGCGUUAUCCGGGUUUAUUGGGUGUAAAGGGAGCGUAGGCGGACUGUCAAGCCAGAUGUGAAAUUUCCGGGCUCAACCGUGGAAUUGCAGUGGAUACUGGCGAUCGUGAGUGCGGGAGAGGCAGGCGGAAUUCGUGGUGUAGCGGUGAAAUGCGUAGAUAUGACGAGGAACCCCGGUUGCGAAGGCAGCUUGCUGGACCGUAACUGACGCUGAUGCUCGAAAGCGUGGGUAUCAAACAGGAUUAGAUACCCUGGUAGUC
Molecule: ribosomal RNA, 460 nt
Filed under: uncultured bacterium
Lineage: Bacteria
Description: partial 16S ribosomal RNA
Rfam family: Bacterial small subunit ribosomal RNA
Source: RNAcentral